CCGCGGUAAUACGUAGGUGGCAAGCGUUUUCCGGAAUUACUGGGCGUAAAGAGCGCGUAGGCGGGGAUUUAAUUCAGGAGUGAAAACUCCGGGCUCAACCUGCAGCGUGCUCUUGAAACUGGAUUUCUAGAGGGUGUGAGAGGAAAGCGGAAUUCCCAGUGUAGCGGUGAAAUGCGUAGAUAUCGGGAGGAACACCAGUGGCGAAGGCGGCUUUCUGGCAUACAACUGACGCUGAGGCGCGAAAGCGUGGGGAGCGAACGGGAUUAGAUACCCCGGUAGUACACGCCGUAAACGAUGGGCCCUAGGUGUUGGAGGUAUCGACCCCUUCUGUGCCGUAGUUAACACAAAAACNGNCCCGCCUGGGACGAC
This 369-nucleotide ribosomal RNA is filed under the name bacterium enrichment culture DGGE band 61_5_F_Ac. Its description in RNAcentral is "bacterial SSU rRNA". It matches the Rfam family "Bacterial small subunit ribosomal RNA", at positions 515 to 882 of the family's 1533-position model. The record is from RNAcentral.